RNAcentral lists this ribosomal RNA (806 nucleotides) under uncultured Planctomycetota bacterium. RNAcentral's name for it is "bacterial SSU rRNA". It matches the Rfam family "Bacterial small subunit ribosomal RNA", at positions 70 to 852 of the family's 1533-position model. The record is from RNAcentral. Lineage: Bacteria; Pseudomonadati; Planctomycetota.
UCCCGUCUCUCACUUGCCUCCUUCUUCGAAAGAAGCGGGGGUCAAGUGAGGGGCGGGGAAAGUGGCGAAAGGGGCAGUAAUGCGUGGGUAACCUACCUCGGGGACGGGGAUAGCCUUCCUAACGGAAGGGUAAUACCUGGCGAUUCGGCGAGAGGACAUCCUCAUGCCGGGAAAUGAGUUUCGCCUCGGGAGGGGCUCACGUGAUAUUAGCUAGUUGGUGAGGUAAUGGCUCACCAAGGCAAAGAUGUCUAGCGGGUGUGAGAGCACGACCCGCGCCACUGGCACUGAGACACUGGCCAGACACCUACGGGUGGCUGCAGUCGAGGAUCUUCGGCAAUGGGCGCAAGCCUGACCGAGCGACGCCGCGUGUGCGAUGAAGGCCUUCGGGUUGUAAAGCACUGUCGAGGGGGAGGAAGCCGCAAGGUUGACCUAUCCCUGGAGGAAGCACGGGCUAAGUUCGUGCCAGCAGCCGCGGUAAGACGAACCGUGCGAACGUUGUUCGGAAUCACUGGGCUUAAAGGGCGCGUAGGCGGGUUUUCAAGUCUGUGGUGAAAUCCUCCAGCUUAACUGGAGAAGUGCCGUGGAUACUGGGGACCUCGAGGUGGGUAGGGGCAUCUGGAACAGCCGGUGGAGCGGUGAAAUGCGUUGAUAUCGGCUGGAACUCCGAUGGCGAAGGCAAGGUGCUGGACCCUCUCUGACGCUGAGGCGCGAAAGCCAGGGGAGCGAACGGGAUUAGAUACCCCGGUAGUCCUGGCCCUAAACGAUGAGAACUAGGUAGUGGACUAACAUGGGUUCACUGUCGAAGC